This 735-nucleotide ribosomal RNA is filed under the name uncultured bacterium. RNAcentral describes it as "bacterial SSU rRNA". It matches the Rfam family "Bacterial small subunit ribosomal RNA", at positions 24 to 773 of the family's 1533-position model. The record is from RNAcentral.
UCAGGACGAACGCUGGCGGCGUGCUUAACACAUGCAAGUCGAACGAUGAUGCCCAGCUUGCUGGGUGGAUUAGUGCGAACGGGUGAGUAACACGUGAGUAACCUGCCCCUGACUCUGGGAUAAGCGUUGGAAACGACGUCUAAUACUGGAUAUGAUCACUGGCCGCAUGGUCUGGUGGUGGAAAGAUUUUUGGUUGGGGAUGGACUCGCGGCCUAUCAGCUUGUUGGUGAGGUAAUGGCUCACCAAGGCGACGACGGGUAGCCGGCCUGAGAGGGUGACCGGCCACACUGGGACUGAGACACGGCCCAGACUCCUACGGGAGGCAGCAGUGGGGAAUAUUGCACAAUGGGCGAAAGCCUGAUGCAGCAACGCCGCGUGAGGGAUGACGGCCUUCGGGUUGUAAACCUCUUUUAGUAGGGAAGAAGCGAAAGUGACGGUACCUGCAGAAAAAGCACCGGCUAACUACGUGCCAGCAGCCGCGGUAAUACGUAGGGUGCAAGCGUUGUCCGGAAUUAUUGGGCGUAAAGAGCUCGUAGGCGGUUUGUCGCGUCUGCUGUGAGAUCCCGAGGCUCAACCUCGGGCUUGCAGUGGGUACGGGCAGACUAGAGUGCGGUAGGGGAGAUUGGAAUUCCUGGUGUAGCGGUGGAAUGCGCAGAUAUCAGGAGGAACACCGAUGGCGAAGGCAGAUCUCUGGGCCGUAACUGACGCUGAGGAGCGAAAGCAUGGGGAGCGAAC